This 242-nucleotide ribosomal RNA is filed under the name uncultured bacterium. RNAcentral describes it as "partial 16S ribosomal RNA". It matches the Rfam family "Bacterial small subunit ribosomal RNA", at positions 92 to 334 of the family's 1533-position model. The record is from RNAcentral.
CGACCGGCGCACGGGUGAGUAACGCGUAUCCAACCUGCCUUACACUCUUGGACAGCCUUCUGAAAGGGAGAUUAAUACAAGAUGUUAUCAUGAGUAAGCAUUUUCGCAUGAUUAAAGGUUUACCGGUGUAAGAUGGGGAUGCGUUCCAUUAGAUAGUAGGCGGGGUAACGGCCCACCUAGUCUUCGAUGGAUAAGGGUUCUGAGAGGAAGGUCCCCCACAUUGGAACUGAGACACGGUCCAA